RNAcentral lists this ribosomal RNA (255 nucleotides) under uncultured bacterium. RNAcentral describes it as "partial 16S ribosomal RNA". It matches the Rfam family "Archaeal small subunit ribosomal RNA", at positions 474 to 727 of the family's 1478-position model. The record is from RNAcentral.
UACCAGCACCCCGAGUGGUCGGGACGAUUAUUGGGCCUAAAGGCAUCCGUAGCCGGUCCUACAAGUCUUCCGUUAAAUCCACCUGCUCAACAGAUGGGCUGCGGAAGAAUACUAUAGGGCUAGGAGGCGGGAGAGGCAAGCGGUACUCAGUGGGUAGGGGUAAAAUCCUCUGAUCCAUUGAAGACCACCAGUGGCGAAGGCGGCUUGCCAGAACGCGCUCGACGGUGAGGGAUGAAAGCUGGGGGAGCAAACCGG